GGCCGCCUGGCGAAAUGGCAUCGCGUCUGACUACGAUACUGAGUUCUACGAACUCAAGUUCCAAAUCAGGAGAUUGCAGGUUCGACCCCUGCGGUGGUCA
This is a non-coding RNA of Rhodocollybia butyracea, 100 nucleotides long. NCBI's taxonomy places the organism in Eukaryota, Fungi, Basidiomycota, Agaricomycetes, Agaricales, Omphalotaceae. The record is from the annotation of a GenBank genome assembly.